CCCUUCGGGGUGAAGCUCGUGGAACGAGCGGCGGACGGGUGAGUAACACGUGGGCAACCUGCCUGUAAGACCGGAAUAACCCCGGGAAACCGGGGCUAAUGCCGGGUAAUACUUUUCUUCGCAUGAAGGAAAGUUGAAAGAUGGCUUCUUGCUAUCACUUACAGAUGGGCCCGCGGCGCAUUAGCUAGUUGGUGAGGUAACGGCUCACCAAGGCGACGAUGCGUAGCCGACCUGAGAGGGUGAUCGGCCACACUGGGACUGAGACACGGCCCAGACUCCUACGGGAGGCAGCAGUAGGGAAUCUUCCGCAAUGGACGAAAGUCUGACGGAGCAACGCCGCGUGAACGAUGAAGGUCUUCGGAUCGUAAAGUUCUGUUGUUAGGGAAGAACAAGUACCGUGCGAAUAGAGCGGUACCUUGACGGUACCUAACGAGGAAGCCCCGGCUAACUACGUGCCAGCAGCCGCGGUAAUACGUAGGGGGCAAGCGUUGUCCGGAAUUAUUGGGCGUAAAGCGCGCGCAGGCGGUUCCUUAAGUCUGAUGUGAAAGCCC
This 551-nucleotide ribosomal RNA is filed under the name Halobacillus sp. YIM 93935. RNAcentral describes it as "bacterial SSU rRNA". It matches the Rfam family "Bacterial small subunit ribosomal RNA", at positions 70 to 603 of the family's 1533-position model. Lineage: Bacteria; Bacillati; Bacillota; Bacilli; Caryophanales; Bacillaceae. The record is from RNAcentral.